AGCGGCCGCGGUAAUUCCNCCUUCAANAGCGUAUAUUAAAGUUGUUGCAGUUAAAAAGCUCGUAGUUGAACUUCGGGGUUCACCCAUUGGUCAGGCUUAAUUGUCUGUACUGGUGAGAUGAGUCUCUACCUUCUGAGGAACUUUCAUGCCAUUUAUUUGGNGUGAUUGGAAAUCAGGACUGUUACUUUGAAAAAAUUAGAGUGUUUAAAGCANGCUAACGUCUGAAUACAUUAGCAUGGAAUAAUGAAAUAGGACGGGUUGAUUCUAUUUCGUUGGUUNCUAGGGUCACCGUAAUGAUUAAUAGGGANAGUUGGGGGCAUUAGNAUUCAAUUGUUCNGAGGUGAAAUUCNUGGAUUUAUUGAANACUAACUACUGCNAAAGCAUUUNGCCAAGGAUGUUUUCAUUAAUCCAAGAACNAAAGUUAGGGGGAUCCGAANACAAUCAGAUACCGUNCGCUAGUCGUUAANCCNUAAAACUAUGCCCNGACUAGGGGAUCGGNACGCGNNUUNAUUUUNUANAAAUGGACNGUGGUU
Molecule: ribosomal RNA, 533 nt
Filed under: uncultured fungus
Lineage: Eukaryota; Fungi
Description: partial small subunit ribosomal RNA
Rfam family: Eukaryotic small subunit ribosomal RNA
Source: RNAcentral